This 306-nucleotide unclassified non-coding RNA is filed under the name plant metagenome. Its description in RNAcentral is "partial contains 5.8S ribosomal RNA, internal transcribed spacer 2, and large subunit ribosomal RNA". The stretch from base 1 to 105 matches the Rfam family "5.8S ribosomal RNA", at positions 50 to 154 of the family's 154-position model. The record is from RNAcentral.
GAAAUGCGAUAAGUAAUGUGAAUUGCAGAAUUCAGUCAAUCAUCGAAUCUUUGAACGCACAUUGCGCCCGCCAGUAUUCUGGCGGGCAUGCCUGUCCGAGCGUCAUUUCAACCAUCAAGCCCCCGGGCUUGUGUUGGGGACCUGCGGCUGCCCGCAGGCCCUGAAAACCAGUGGCGGGCUCGCUGUCACACCGAGCGUAGUAGCAAUCACCUCGCUCAGGGCGUGCUGCGGGUUCCGGCCGUUAAACAGCCUUACAAAACCCAAGGUUGACCUCGGAUCAGGUAGGAAGACCCGCUGAACUUAAGC